UAGGGAAUCUUCGGCAAUGGACGGAAGUCUGACCGAGCAACGCCGCGUGAGUGAAGAAGGUUUUCGGAUCGUAAAGCUCUGUUGUUAGAGAAGAACGUUGGUAGGAGUGGAAAAUCUACCAAGUGACGGUAACUAACCAGAAAGGGACGGCUAACUACGUGCCAGCAGCCGCGGUAAUACGUAGGUCCCGAGCGUUGUCCGGAUUUAUUGGGCGUAAAGCGAGCGCAGGCGGUUCUUUAAGUCUGAAGUUAAAGGCAGUGGCUUAACCAUUGUACGCUUUGGAAACUGGAGGACUUGAGUGCAGAAGGGGGGAGUGGAAUUCCAUGUGUAACGGUGAAAUGCGUAGAUAUAUGGAGGAACACCGGUGGCGAAAGCGGCUCUCUGGUCUGUAACUGACGCUGAGGCUCGAAAGCGUGGGGAGCAAACAGG
This 429-nucleotide ribosomal RNA is filed under the name Bacillota bacterium. Its description in RNAcentral is "Firmicutes bacterium partial 16S ribosomal RNA". It matches the Rfam family "Bacterial small subunit ribosomal RNA", at positions 355 to 776 of the family's 1533-position model. The record is from RNAcentral. Lineage: Bacteria; Bacillati; Bacillota.